AGAACGAACGCUGGCGGCAUGCCUAAUACAUGCAAGUCGAACGAACACUUCGGUGUUAGUGGCGCACGGGUGCGUAACGCGUGGGAAUCUGCCCUUGGGUUCGGAAUAACAGUUGGAAACGACUGCUAAUACCGGAUGAUGACGAAAGUCCAAAGAUUUAUCGCCCAGGGAUGAGCCCGCGUAGGAUUAGCUAGUUGGUGAGGUAAGAGCUCACCAAGGCGACGAUCCUUAGCUGGUCUGAGAGGAUGAUCAGCCACACUGGGACUGAGACACGGCCCAGACUCCUACGGGAGGCAGCAGUGGGGAAUAUUGGACAAUGGGCGAAAGCCUGAUCCAGCAAUGCCGCGUGAGUGAUGAAGGCCUUAGGGUGUAAAGCUCUUUACCGGGAUGAUAAUGACAGUACCGGAGAAUAAGCUCCGGCUAACGUCCGCGCCAGCAGCCGC
RNAcentral lists this ribosomal RNA (443 nucleotides) under uncultured soil bacterium. RNAcentral describes it as "bacterial SSU rRNA". It matches the Rfam family "Bacterial small subunit ribosomal RNA", at positions 26 to 518 of the family's 1533-position model. The record is from RNAcentral.